RNAcentral lists this ribosomal RNA (3629 nucleotides) under Triticum aestivum (bread wheat). Its description in RNAcentral is "partial small subunit ribosomal RNA". The record is from RNAcentral. Lineage: Eukaryota; Viridiplantae; Streptophyta; Magnoliopsida; Poales; Poaceae.
GUUAAACGUGUUCAAACCGCACUCAAAAGAUCGUAGAAUCAUUUUUGUACACCACUGUACCCGAUCUUAAUGGACGUGGUCCUCUAUUACUGACUGAAUGUUCAAGUCGACGUCGUAUCGGUGUUCUUUUCAUCGCCGCGUUAAAUUACACCGGUACCGUUUAACCGUUAGAGUGAAAGUAUAGCGUAGUUUGGGUGGUGUCGGUGUAGGUGUCCUCAGUUUGACGUUGAUACGUUGGUAAUUAUACGUCUGAAUUUCGACCGUACUGAACUAUUUUUUUUAGGCACUCUACAUGUGGGGUAUAUGAGAGGGGUAUAUGAACGGACUGGACUUAAAGAGCUCGCUUCAACCUUCGUCGCGUUCCACGUAAACAUCUAGUACCCGUAGAACGGUCACUAGAUACGUGAUGAGGGAAAGAACCAUGAGCCCAGUGAUCCUUUCGAUUGACGCAAUCGUAGACCUCAACAUUGUUCGAUGUCAGGUCUUGUAUUAUCACAAGGGGCCUCACGGAGCGAGCUUCCAACGCACUUCUGUACACCGUUAGACUCGAAGCUGAUAGGGAAACCGUAGCCCAGCUCCACGAGGGCACCCGGACUAAAGUUAGAGAGAACGUUGCUCUGGAGGGUUGGGGGGUUCGAGAAGAACGUGCUGCCGUAGUGGCUCCAUUGGCCGCUAUAGCUACACUUACCAAAGCCGUGACGUUUAAAGUAGUCGUGGAGGAAGGCCGUAUGGUAAGGAAACUUUAGACCACAAUUUCACAUACUGAACAGCGACUUUAGUGGACCCUCCAGGAAGUGGGUACCCAUGUGACAAGAUUUGUAGUAUCCAACGCUGGACCUACACAUAACCCAGUUGCUGUUGUGGCCGUGUCGGUCUGCGCAGACGUUUUGACGCACGUACCUGGAUCCUUAAUGCCUCUACCACCGAUGCUUCUUCACGUUACCGCAGCCAACGACAUCAAAAGGGUAGCUACUGGUAUCGUAGCUGUGAAAAGUGGAGUUUAAACAUAACGCGGUAUCCUUUUAAUUGUGGUCUCGUGCGGGAUUGGCCUGGAGAGGUAACACCCUAUCUUAGUCGUAUUGCCUGUCACCGCCGCGGUGACAAGUAACCUUAUACCACCUAGUUGGGUUGACACGACCGUGCCACGCUUUAUCCUGACGGAUACGGACAUAGUCGCUCGUACGGCUCACGCAGCUGUCAUGUAAAAAACUGACAGGUAACUGUGCACUACUCACGUAACUGAAGCCGUACUGUAGUUCGUUACCCAUGUUGACGUAGACGCCACGGCCGAUAUGUCCGUUGGGGAAGUAAGUUCUACCUACGAGGUUGCUGUUUCCCAUAUUAGGUUAACGUUCGUCUCGACUAACAUGGGCAAGCACACCAUUGUAAUCACACGUUAAGGGCAAGCCGAAUCUUCUCCCAACAAAACGCUCCCCUCUAAAAGUGGAGUUGACGAGUCAAUGCUGAAGUAGUCGACAGGAGUACAACCGUGUAGACCUCCAUUUGUCGUACUUACAACUACUUCCCUGGUAAUUAUAGUGGUUAGGACUCGUUUUUCCUCCUAAGUGGGACAGACCUCCAGAAAAAAUAAGUAUACCCUGUAACAAGAGGGGAGACGUUACCCAACGACGUUUAGAUUCAACGUAUCUCCGGGCUGUCUUAUUUUGGCCUAUACGAACACACUCAGAGUUGUCGUUCACGCAUCUUCAUUUGUGACGUCUGUAGAUACAACCAAUAGUGACGUUUACGCGUCUACCGAAGGUUCCUUUAGGUAUGCAGGUUUCACCAACAUCGCCAUUCGUGUUAUAUAGAGAAUAUUUUCUUUUAAACAUGUUAAUAUAGUUUCGAUUCCAAAUGUCGCUUUUAUGAAGCGACGUAGACCAUACAAAAUAGUACGUACAUCCGAAAAAAUGAACCGACUACAUGACGAAGUACAAUUAACUUAUAUAUGAUACAGAGUACAUAUAUCAAAACCCUACGUAGAAUAGUUCUAGAACAAUUAAAGUCUGUAACUACUCACGUAAGUCGGUUUGUUAACAUUUCCCUAGACGGUAUUAUAACUUCCUUCGAAGAAAACAUGACCUACAGGAGCGUUCUGACUCAUACUAGUUUGUUUUUACGUCACAUGAUCUUGCUUUGUUGUCUGAGACGAAAAUCCAUUCUUACAAUACCAUUGUAAACUAUCUACUGUAUCUUGUAAUUGAAUUUCUCGAACUACUGACGUCCAUAUUAAUAACCCAACAGAACACCUAAGCCACAAGAUGAAGACUCGAAGUCACGUAGUGAAGAGUAAGAAUCUACCUUUUAUUUACAAGUUUUCGUUGAUGCCUUUUUUAUAAAGGUCUUCUUGGUUCCAGAAGAGGAUCUUUGCAACUAUAGCAGACUACUUUGACGUUUACUCUUAUGAUUCUAAAAAAGCAAUCUUCUCGAUCUCUUCCGUUGUUUGUUGAAGCUAGGAUGUGCAUAAUAGCCUGCACCCCCGGUACCGUACCAAAUGUUUCCGUAUACAGACUAGUCACACAGCAACGUCAUUUUUUCAGUUUCCAGUAACUCGUUAGACUCUAGUCUGUUAAGUAAUUACUCCAGCGUCAGGAGUGAGUCUAUUUAGUGUCUUUAUAACACUUCGAGAAACCUACAACGGAGCUUUGGCUCCAAGGUGAUGACCACAUACUAAUACAUAGGUUGCCGAGUGACAGACUUCAAGAAGUACGGCUACGUUCACUACCAAAAAGGAAUAGAACCCCACUAAUAAACUCCUAACGAGAGCUUAGUCGUCCUCGAGAUAGAAUAGAGGUAAGAAGUCGAAGUCAUAGUUAGAAGGUAGCACUGCACUUCAGGAGUUUAUAAGAAAACCUACCCUUGAUGUGUCGAUUUCAAAGACUAAAACCGCGAAGGUCUAACCAAGGUUAGCUAGUUUGUGUAUAACAGUGCUUACACGUUCCAUGUAAACCCAUGAAUCUAGGUCUCAUAAAGGUAUGGUCCGUCGACUUGCCCUUCUCGCUGCACAUGUCAAAACCACACCAUGAUCACCUCAACGAAGAGUCUUACUUCGGACAUAAAUGUACACUUAGUCCGUGUCAGAUUUCAAACAGUUUGAUAAAGGAAGUCCUCAAGUUACUCCCUUCUUAGUGUCUAUAACGAUUAAGAGUCCACGAACUCCUCCGUUGGCUCCUUCUCUAGUUACCACAACGGAGAGAACGUCUCGCCACGAACUCCGAUGUGCCACUUCUUUCUGGUUGGUACUUUGUCCAACUCUGUCUUGACGUCUGAGAUGCCUGUUUUGCCUACUUGAGUAGAGUCGGUCUAGGCUCUUCACCUCUUGUCUACGUUGGUUCCAGCAAUUGAGUUUCCUCAUCUAUACGAGCCGUUAAUAGGCGUGUCGGUCCUCUAUCGGUUGCUGCGAUAUCGAACCUCCGUCUCAAGAACAGUAGAAGAUCGGACGGUGCCAUCUACUCCGAUAACUCGAAUAAUUAUUACCUAUUAAAGAAAGGGAGAAAACACUUGGACAUAAAGUCCGUAGUACUAACAUAGUCUAAGAGCCAACCUUAAUACGAACGAAUAUACACAUGUGACCAAAAUUAAUGGGUCUCUAUCCCUCACUUAAAGAUCGUAUACGUAACACAACUACU